This 221-nucleotide unclassified non-coding RNA is filed under the name Carex merritt-fernaldii. RNAcentral describes it as "partial internal transcriber spacer 2". Lineage: Eukaryota; Viridiplantae; Streptophyta; Magnoliopsida; Poales; Cyperaceae. The record is from RNAcentral.
GCCCAUCCACGCUUUGUUGCCUAUCGGCAAAGAUGCGGACAUUGGCCCUCCGAACCGCGAGGUGCGGUGGGCCUAAGUGUGCGGCCGUCGUAUGUGGCCGGGAGCGGCGAGUGGUGGGCUACUGCGCACGUCACCCCGAGCCCCGUACCGACACAGGGCCUUUUUCGACCCCUAACGAGGAGAUUGCUGUCGCAGCUUGCGCUGCGCGGCGCCUUCGGACC